Molecule: long non-coding RNA, 4364 nt
Filed under: Nicotiana benthamiana
Lineage: Eukaryota; Viridiplantae; Streptophyta; Magnoliopsida; Solanales; Solanaceae
Description: long non-coding RNA (NBEN_LNC030859)
Source: RNAcentral
ACAAGAUCUGUUGCUGAAGCAUUCACCAGGAGAAAUCAGGGUAAAGUGUAUUUACUAGUCCAUACAGUUGUCCGUUCUUCCUAGCCAAAAAAGGCUUAUGCAAGUCAUUUCGUUGGUGGAAUAGCUGAACUAGCUGCCGAAGUGUCUGAUGAGAGUGCAUAUAGAGAACGGAUAGCUAAAGUUUCUCGAGUUGCUGAAAUUGAGGAUCUUCAGGGACCUCAUGAGCCACCAGUUGCAUUGCUAAGUAUCAAAAGUGUUUUAAUUGUUGUUUCAGACGAACAGAGUUACAUUUAACUUGACACCGGAGGUUAUUCAUCAGGUAACCAUGUUUGUUUUAUGAAGUUGUUGAAUUGAUUCAUUAUGAAGAAGUGAAAGCUUGAAUAAGGUCACUAUCAAUGCAGGUUGUUCUUGUUAAUAGUCUAGACGAUGUAGGUCAAGGAUGGGAUACUUCCUCCUUUUAGGUCAUUAUAAGAAAAAGGCUCCUAGGUCUGAUUAGGAGGAGAUGUCGAAGUGAGAAAUAUACUGGAACUAUCAGGUUAGAGGGUUCAGGCUGGAGCAGCAAAAUAGCAAGAGAAAAUUGCUGUAUACUGAGUUGGGUGCUGCCAACACAUACUUGACAAUAGAGGGUGGAGGUAGGUUGAUGCUUCCCACUUUCUGGGCUUGUGAAUUGUGAUGACACAAAUAGGUUGUUAGUCUACGAAUGUUUUCGAGCAACAAUCGUGUGGUAGGAUUUUGUUUGGGUUAUGUCUUUUUUAAACACAAAUAGUUAAAUUAGGUUGCUUUCUGGAAACUAAAAUGCAUUAGUUUCACACCCUCCUUGGAAAUGUAAAUAAUUUAGCUUCAGAAGUAAUUGAGAAAUGCUGCCAGGCUCAUUUUUGAAACCAAUCCUUCAAAAACUAAACCACGGCCAAAUUCGAAUGCCACCUCCUUUGAGUUUUCUAUUCUUGGAACCAAAAUAAUUAGGUUUUACAAAAAAAAAAAGGUAUCAUUUUUUGAACCAAAUAAGUCUGGGUUCUGUUUUUGGAAAUGUUGCCAAAAACAUUUGGCAACCAAAAACCAUUUCAGAUGCGGUUGAAUUGUGGUUUUCAAGAGUUAUAGUUGCAUAGAAUAAAAAAUGAAGAGGUAAAAAGGGAACUUCCAUAUUUAUCUUUUCUCAGCCAAAAAGAAAAAGGAGAACUUCCAGGCAUCAUCUCUUGGGGCUGGAUUUGCAUUGUACAAUUCAGGCUUAAGCACACUUACUUAAAUUGGUCUGAUGAUUGAAUCUUCAAAGCAUCACUGUGGUUUAGAGUUUACACAACUUGUUCCUAAUCCAAACAGGACUGCAAAACCAUCAGAGGAGCUAGCUUUCUGGGCUGUUUCUUGACACCAAUUAUCUAAAGCCAUAACUUGACCACAAGAAGGGAAAGAAUCUGAGAUUCCAAAAUUUUCUGCAAUGCACAGAAAUGUGGAAAAUUCUGAAGACCAAUAUGACCUUGAAACCUUUGAGUAUAUGCUUUGAGCCAGAAAAAGUUGAACUAGCUACAAGAAUAUAACCUGUCUUAAAUUUUUAAGAAAUUGGUCCUAGGGUUUUGGUCUAAUGGUAAGAGUGCAACACAUGAUGUGUGGGUUAGGCACAUCUCGCGUGUUCGAAUCCUACCACAGACAAAAGUCUGGUUUUAAGUGGAGAAGGAUAGAGAGGCAGGCCUAUUAUCCACCGAGUUUCAAAGCGUGCCGGUCGCAUUCUCUGGUCCAAUUGCUUUCUUUCUGUAUUUCUGAUUAAUCCACCACGUCCAAUGGCCCUUGCAGAUUUUUGGGUUUCAAAUUUUUUUCUCUGAAAUUUACAUCAGAAAUAUUCUAUACUUCCCCAGACCCCACUUUGUGGGACUAUACUGGGUAGUUGUUGUUGUUUAAAUAUUCUAUACUUGUGCCUCCAGAACUUAAUUAACAAUCUUUGUUUUCUUUAGAGCUAAAUCUUUUAAAAAGUUUAAAAUGACAUAUCAACAGGCUAGUACGAUAUGUGCAGUGCUUUCUGUUCUGCAGAGCCCACCCCCCGCUACUUAUUGUCUCUUGGAUGUAGUCAGACUCUCUGUUCAGUAAUCAAAAUUUAACACGAAGUUACACGAAAAAGAAUCCAUCUUUGGGUCUCUUUACGUCUCAUUCUUUGUCUGAAGUUGCUGUAAUGUAGUUCUCAAAAAAAAGUUGCUGUAAUAGAUUUCUAAUUCUUCUAGUUCUGAUGUUCUUCCCACAGUUCGUGAAAAUGUAAUACUAGAAGGCUAGGUUAUGGAAUUUAAAUGACAGAAGCUGACAACUGAGCUUUUUCAAGGUUCUUUAUAAUAAAGAAGUAUUGGUGGCUUUUACUUAUAACACUGCUUUAUACUCUGUCUAAUCAUAUGCUGAAUAUGUUUCAGAUUUUUGCUGAGAAACCAGCUGUCCGCCAAGCAUAUUUGAAAUUUGUUCCGGGCAAGGUAAAAGUAUUGUCAGCAAGCGGUAUAGGCAAUUCAUUGGAUUUCAAUCCGAUUAUCUUGUGAGCUUUUCCUGCGCAAAAGCAUGCUGAGGCAGAUAUGCAUGCUUAGCUUGUCCACAAAAAUUGACCUAAUUUAAGAUCAUUGAAGCAUCUUCGAUUGAAGCUUUAGUGAACCUUUUCAAUUACAAUCGAAUAUAGGAGUGGGACAAGAUAACCCCUCUGCUUCCUUAUCGUAAUUCGUCUACAGGUCCAUCUAAACUGCUUUACUAAUAGGUAACAAACACCCAAAGCUACCUAUGAUGACAACGAUUAUCUGAGAAUGAUUCACGUUGUACUUUUAUCGGUCAAAUUGGACUUUUGAAUUCUGAAUCUUGUCAUUUGCAUGGUGCGACCUUUGCUUAUAUUCUCUUUCUCAGAUGUCAGAAAAAGAAUUCUGGACUAAAUAUUCAAGAGCUGAAUACCUCCACAGCACCAAAAAUAUUGUUGCAGCAGCUGCUGAGGCUGCUGAAGAUGAGGAGCUUGCGGUUUUCUUGAAGCAAGAUGACAUGUUAGCAUUUGAAGCUCGUAAGAAGGUGAGUGCACUAGAUGAUUACUGUUUUCAUUGUUUUCUAACAACAUCCAUCCUAAAAGGACUUCCAUCGAAUGUUCUUGUUUCCCGUUUUCCUUUCUCUCUUCCCUUGAGAGAGGUGGAUGGAGAAGUAUUUCCAGAAGUCUUUACAGCAUUUGUGUUCUUUUCAGAUCAGAAGGGUGGAUCCAACUCUGGACAUGGAAGCAGAUGAAGGUGAUGAUUACAUGCAUCUCCCGGUACAUCAACAAAACUUUAUUAUUUAAUCAUCUUGUUAGAUAGGAUUUGCUGUCCAUGUUUUUCCCCAUACAUUGAAUGAAGAAGAAUAAUGUUCUUUGAUAGAAAAGGUAAGGUUCUCUGUCAUAAAGUGGUGAUCAUGGUGUCUGUGGAAAGAAAGUCUGAGAGAGAUAUCAGUGAAAUGGUGGAUUCUUAAUGAGACAAUACUGCUUACGAUAUUUUUUUUCCCAAACAUCCCCUCUUCCGGUUACACUUAUUUUUGCAUAGCUUGUGUACCUUGGAAAACAUAUUUGUUGUGGAUAGGACCUCAUAUUCUUGUAUCUGCUUUGCUAUAACCCCUUAAAAGUGAAAUGGAGCUAACAUAUUCAUAUGCCAUGGUAAAAAAUUAGGAUCAUGGGCUACCUCUUGAUGAAACUAAGGAGAUUCUGGAACCACAGUAUGAACCAUUCAAGAGGUCGUUCUCGCAGUACCUUAACCAGCAUGCAGCAGUAGUUCUUCGAGGAAGAGUUAUAGGUAAGCUUCUUUUUUAACAAGCUCUAUCGUUUACACCACUCCGUUCUGAGUAAUUUCUUUUAGACUCCCUUCCCUGAGACAAAUUGUGAAGCAGACUGAAGUUUUCUCUAUGUCGGGUGCAAAUGAUUAAGAUUUUAUGUGUGCACUACUGGUUCUCUGGUAUGCAUCAUUGCUGUGUCUUCUAUGUGAAUGUCCUUGAUAGCUGCAGCUUAGGGUUGGGAGAGGGAGAGGGAGAGGGAGAGGGAGAGCCUUACAUAGUGGGUUAGUGGUUCUGGCUGCCUUUGUUUAAACUGAGUUGCUAUUAUUUCAUAUUUGACUUGAUGUUUUCCCUUCUUAUUUUCUCACCAAUCUGGGAAGAUGUUGAGCUGGGUGACACAAGAUCUGUUGCUGAAGCAUUCACCAGGAGAAAUCAGGGUAAAGUGUAUUUACUAGUCCAUACAGUUGUCCGUUCUUCCUAGCCAAAAAAGGCUUAUGCAAGUCAUUUCGUUGGUGGAAUAGCUGAACUAGCUGCCGAAGUGUCUGAUGAGAGUGCAUAUAGAGAACGGAUAGCUAAAGUUUCUCGAGUUGCUGAAAUUGAGGAUCUUCAGGGACCUCAUGAGCCACCAG